RNAcentral lists this ribosomal RNA (1234 nucleotides) under uncultured Thiothrix sp. RNAcentral's name for it is "partial 16S ribosomal RNA". It matches the Rfam family "Bacterial small subunit ribosomal RNA". Lineage: Bacteria; Pseudomonadati; Pseudomonadota; Gammaproteobacteria; Thiotrichales; Thiotrichaceae. The record is from RNAcentral.
AUUGAACGCUGGCGGCAUGCCUUACACAUGCAAGUCGAACGGCAGCGCGUCCUUCGGGAUGGCGGCGAGUGGCGAACGGGUGAGUAAAGCAUCGGAACGUGCCCGGUAGUGCGGGAUAGCUCGGCGAAAGCCGGAUUAAUACCGCAUGAGAUCCGAGGAUGAAAGCAGGGGACCCGCAAGGGCCUUGCGCUACUGGAGCGGCCGAUGUCAGAUUAGGUAGUUGGUGAGGUAAAGGCUCACCAAGCCUGCGAUCUGUAGCUGGUCUGAGAGGAUGGCCAGCCACAUCGGGACUGAGACACGGCCCGGACUCCUACGGGAGGCAGUAGUCGGGAAUAUUGGACAAUGGGCGCAAGCCUGAUCCAGCAAUACCGCGUGUGUGAAGAAGGCCUGCGGGUUGUAAAGCACUUUCAGUUGGGAAGAAACGAUUGCAACUAAUAAUUGUAAUUAAUGACGGUACCGACAGAAGAAGCACCGACUAACUACGUGCCAGCAGCCGCGGUAAUACGUGAAAAGAAGGGGUAAAAGGGGGGGGAUAGGUGACGUGGGGAGGAACAAACCGGUAAGGGGAAGUAAAGUGGGGGGGUGAGGCACACGGGAAGGGUUUGGGGGGUGGAGCUAGGGGUAUUAAGUUUACGGCCGGGGGAGUACGCUCGCCAGAGUAAAACUCAAGGGGGGGGAGGGGGGCCCGCACAAAGCGGGGGGGCGGGGGGAUAAUUGGAUGAGACGAGGAGAACCUUAGGUGGGCUUGACAGAUAGUGGACGUAGCAGAAAUGGUGGGUGCCUUGCGGGGACGCUAACACAGGUGCUGCACGGCUGUCGUCAGCUAGUAUCGGGAGAUGUGGGGGUAAAUAACGCAACGAGCGCAACCCCUAUCCCUGGUUGCCAGCACGUAAUGGUGGGAACUCUAAGGAGACUGCCGGUGACAAACCGGAGGAAGAGUGGGGAUGACGUCAAGUCAUCAUGACCCUUAUGGCCAGGGCGACACACGUGCUACAAUGGGUGGUACAGAGGGAAGCAAGACCGCGAGGUGGAGCAAAUCCCAGAAAGCCAUCCGUAGUCCGGAUUGGAGUCUGCAACUCGACUCCAUGAAGUCGGAAUCGCUAGUAAUCGCGGAUCAGCAUGCCGCGGUGAAUACGUUCCCGGGCCUUGUACACACCGCCCGUCACACCAUGGGAGUUUGUUGCACCAGAAGCAGGUAGUCUAACCGAAAGGAGGGCGCUUACCACGGUGUGGC